This 1098-nucleotide unclassified non-coding RNA is filed under the name Hevea brasiliensis (rubber tree). Lineage: Eukaryota; Viridiplantae; Streptophyta; Magnoliopsida; Malpighiales; Euphorbiaceae. The record is from RNAcentral.
AGAGAGAGAGAGAGAGAGAAGCGGAUGGGUCUGCUUUCUAAUAGGAUCGUCAAGGAGAGCCUGAAGCCAGGGGAUCAUAUAUACUCGUGGAGGACUGCAUAUAUAUAUGCGCAUCACGGAAUCUAUAUUGGGGAUGAUAAAGUAAUUCAUUUUACCAGACGCGGUCAAGAAGUAGGAACAGGAACAGUGCUUGAUCUCCUCUUGACUAGCUCAGGACCAGCGAACACUCAAGUGCCUUGCCCCACUUGCACUAUGCAGCGAGAGGGACACGGGGUUAUCCUCUCAUGCUUGAAUUGCUUCCUUGCUGGAGGUGUCUUGUAUCGCUUUGAGUAUGAUGUCAGCCCUGCUUUAUUUCUUGCAAAAGCACGUGGUGGAACUUGUACUCUUGCAGUUUCAGACCCAAAUGAUAUUGUGGUACACCGGGCAAAAUUCCUGCUUGAGAAUGGCUUUGGGUGUUAUAAUGUGUUUAAGAACAAUUGUGAAGAUUUUGCUAUUUAUUGCAAAACCGGACUCCUUGUUGUAGAUCAAGGAACAAUGGGACAGAGUGGCCAAGCAGCAUCCAUUGUCGGGGGCCCUCUUGCAGCUGUUCUAUCUACACCAUUGCGUCUUGUCACCACCAAUGUCUAUGGGAUGGCUGCAACAGCUGUUGGAGUUUACUGUGUUAGCAGAUAUGCUGCUGAUAUUGGCAAGAGGAGGGAUGUGCUGAAGGUCUCAGUGGAGGAUCUGACAAGGAGGCUGGCCACAGGCUCACUCCAGGUGGUCGAAAAUCAAAUUUUAGCUAGACCAAUCUAAGAGAAUCGAUUGUUUGACAUCAAAUAAAUAUUUGAAGCUUCUCUUUAUUCUAUUUAUCUAGUGAAUAAUUGGUUUGGAUUGGGACUAUGAUUACACAGCACGAGCUGCAUCUUUGUUAUGUGACAUCAUGUAGCUUUAUCUACAUGUUUUAUGUGAUGUUGUAAUGUGCAAGGAUUGUUGGUCUUCUAAGUAAAAAAAUUAUAUUUAUCAUUUAUGGCUAAGCCAGAGGUAACAAUAAUUCAACUGUGACAAUAUGUGAAGUGCUUUGCUAACUAGCAGAUGGCCAAGGAUGUAGUGUAUCCAAAG